RNAcentral lists this ribosomal RNA (201 nucleotides) under Salmonella enterica subsp. enterica serovar Typhimurium str. STm2. RNAcentral's name for it is "partial 23S ribosomal RNA". It matches the Rfam family "Bacterial large subunit ribosomal RNA", at positions 1184 to 1298 of the family's 2925-position model. Lineage: Bacteria; Pseudomonadati; Pseudomonadota; Gammaproteobacteria; Enterobacterales; Enterobacteriaceae. The record is from RNAcentral.
AAACCAUGCACCGAAGCUGCGGCAGCGAACGUAUCACCCAAGACAACUUUACGGAGUUGACGAUUGACGGAGCGAAGCGACGUCAAAGCGUUCAUUAAAGUCGAGUUGGCUUAGGGAUACGUUCGUUGGGUAGGGGAGCGUUCUGUAAGCCUGUGAAGGUGUGUCGUGAGGCAUGCUGGAGGUAUCAGAAGUGCGAAUGCU